GAUAGACUUGCUGUGUGCGACUGGAAAUCUAUCCUGACGUUAUCUUCAGUGCUUGAGGGAAGCAGGCACUACAUCUGCAUGUUCACAGAGCUCAAUGCUGCCUCAAUACAGGAGAAAUUCCUUGCCCAGGAAGGAGAACAUUCCCUCACCCCAUCCUCCUGUGAAAUGCGUAAUUCAACAUCCUGCUUGACACCAGUCAACACUGAGGUUUAAACACACUAGUGAAGACGACCUUUCAUAGGCAGAACCAGAAUUUAAAAAAGAGAAUUAUGAGAGCACCAACUGGUGCUGCAGGGGUGGCUGCACUCCCUGCCCUUUCAGAACAGCCAACCAAGCUAUGGGAGCAACAGCUCGGACUUCUAAAAAAAAAAUCCUCCAUUCAGGGAGCACAGGGCCUGGAGCAGAAAGCAGACCAGAUCG
Molecule: long non-coding RNA, 420 nt
Organism: Alligator sinensis (Chinese alligator)
Lineage: Eukaryota; Metazoa; Chordata; Crocodylia; Alligatoridae
Exons: 4
Source: RefSeq, a predicted model, not a curated record